AUUUGUAUAGUAUAAAAAUUAUAUUUAACUUCCAAUUAAAUGAUCCUUUAGGUACAAAUA
RNAcentral lists this transfer RNA (60 nucleotides) under Bostrichoidea sp. 5 KM-2017. RNAcentral describes it as "tRNA-Gly". The record is from RNAcentral. Lineage: Eukaryota; Metazoa; Arthropoda; Insecta; Coleoptera.